CGCAUCUGUGCAUGCAGCAUAUCAAUAAGCGGAGGAAAAGAAACUAACAAGGAUUCCCCUAGUAACGGCGAGUGAAGCGGGAAGAGCUCAAAUUUGAAAUCUUAAAGGGUUUCCCUUUACGAAUUGUAGUUUAAAGAAGUGUUUUCUGUUGAGGUUUUGGUAAAGUUCUUUGGAAUAGGACAUCAUAGAGGGUGAGAAUCCCGUAUUUGACCUUUACUUUCAACUUUGUGAUACACUUUCAAAGAGUCGGAUUGUUUGGGAAUGCAGUCCAAAAUGGGUGGUAAAUUUCAUCUAAAGCUAAAUAUUGGCGAGAGACCGAUAGCGAACAAGUACCGUGAGGGAAAGAUGAAAAGAACUUUGAAAAGAGAGUUAAACAGUACGUGAAAUUGUCAAAAGGGAAGCGUUUGACACCAGUGUUGUUUUUCUGAAAAUCAAUUAAAGAACUGUUUAUGCUAAGUUGUUUAGACUUUAUCAGCUAACUGUUUAGUUUUGAGCUUUUCUUUAAUGCACUUUUCAGUUAACAAGUCAACAUCAAUUUCUUUUGCUGUAAAAAAGCUUGAGGAAGGUGGCUUGAGAUUCGUCUUAAGUGUUUAUAGCCUCUUUAGCCUCUGCAGUCGGAGAGAUUGAGGUCUGCAGCGUAGAUCCUUCGGGGUUAAAUGCACUUUGUGCUAAGUUAUAGCAUUUCAUAGACAACUUGUUGAUUAUGAUUAGUCUUGUAGCUUACUCGCUUAGUGCUAUUUUACCUACGCUUAGGAUGUUGAGUAGCGACAUACGCAC
This 777-nucleotide ribosomal RNA is filed under the name uncultured Neocallimastigales. Its description in RNAcentral is "partial large subunit ribosomal RNA". It matches the Rfam family "Eukaryotic large subunit ribosomal RNA", at positions 26 to 649 of the family's 3401-position model. Lineage: Eukaryota; Fungi; Neocallimastigomycota; Neocallimastigomycetes; Neocallimastigales. The record is from RNAcentral.